Molecule: ribosomal RNA, 402 nt
Filed under: uncultured bacterium
Lineage: Bacteria
Description: bacterial SSU rRNA
Rfam family: Bacterial small subunit ribosomal RNA
Source: RNAcentral
UGGGGAAUCUUGCACAAUGGAGGAAACUCUGAUGCAGCGACGCCGCGUGAGCGAUGAAGCCCUUCGGGGUGUAAAGCUCUUUCGACGGGAACGAUAAUGACGGUACCCGGAGAAGAAGCUGCGGCUAACUACGUGCCAGCAGCCGCGGUAAUACGUAGGCAGCAAACGUCGUUCGGAAUUACUGGGCGUAAAGAGUGUGUAGGCGGUUUUGCAAGUUUGGUGUGAAAUCUCCCGGCUUAACUGGGAGGGUGCGCCGAAAACUGCAAGGCUCGAGUACUGGAGAGGAAAGCGGAGUUCCUGGUGUAGCGGUGAAAUGCGUAGAUAUCAGGAGGAACACCGGUGGUGUAGACGGCUUUCUGGACAGUCACUGACGCUGAGACACGAAAGCGUGGGGAGCAAACA